Molecule: ribosomal RNA, 1372 nt
Filed under: uncultured bacterium
Lineage: Bacteria
Description: bacterial SSU rRNA
Rfam family: Bacterial small subunit ribosomal RNA
Source: RNAcentral
GAUGAACGCUGGCGGCGUGCCUAAUACAUGCAAGUCGAGCGAACGGACGAGGAGCUUGCUUCUCUGAUGUUAGCGGCGGACGGGUGAGUAACACGUGGAUAACCUACCUAUAAGACUGGGAUAACUUCGGGAAACCGGAGCUAAUACCGGAUAAUAUUUUGAACCGCAUGGUUCAAAAGUGAAAGACGGUCUUGCUGUCACUUAUAGAUGGAUCCGCGCUGCAUUAGCUAGUUGGUAAGGUAACGGCUUACCAAGGCAACGAUGCAUAGCCGACCUGAGAGGGUGAUCGGCCACACUGGAACUGAGACACGGUCCAGACUCCUACGGGAGGCAGCAGUAGGGAAUCUUCCGCAAUGGGCGAAAGCCUGACGGAGCAACGCCGCGUGAGUGAUGAAGGUCUUCGGAUCGUAAAACUCUGUUAUUAGGGAAGAACAUAUGUGUAAGUAACUGUGCACAUCUUGACGGUACCUAAUCAGAAAGCCACGGCUAACUACGUGCCAGCAGCCGCGGUAAUACGUAGGUGGCAAGCGUUAUCCGGAAUUAUUGGGCGUAAAGCGCGCGUAGGCGGUUUUUUAAGUCUGAUGUGAAAGCCCACGGCUCAACCGUGGAGGGUCAUUGGAAACUGGAAAACUUGAGUGCAGAAGAGGAAAGUGGAAUUCCAUGUGUAGCGGUGAAAUGCGCAGAGAUAUGGAGGAACACCAGUGGCGAAGGCGACUUUCUGGUCUGUAACUGACGCUGAUGUGCGAAAGCGUGGGGAUCAAACAGGAUUAGAUACCCUGGUAGUCCACGCCGUAAACGAUGAGUGCUAAGUGUUAGGGGGUUUCCGCCCCUUAGUGCUGCAGCUAACGCAUUAAGCACUCCGCCUGGGGAGUACGACCGCAAGGUUGAAACUCAAAGGAAUUGACGGGGACCCGCACAAGCGGUGGAGCAUGUGGUUUAAUUCGAAGCAACGCGAAGAACCUUACCAAAUCUUGACAUCCUUUGACAACUCUAGAGAUAGAGCCUUCCCCUUCGGGGGACAAAGUGACAGGUGGUGCAUGGUUGUCGUCAGCUCGUGUCGUGAGAUGUUGGGCUAAGUCCCGCAACGAGCGCAACCCUUAAGCUUAGUUGCCAUCAUUAAGUUGGGCACUCUAAGUUGACUGCCGGUGACAAACCGGAGGAAGGUGGGGAUGACGUCAAAUCAUCAUGCCCCUUAUGAUUUGGGCUACACACGUGCUACAAUGGACAAUACAAAGGGCAGCGAAACCGCGAGGUCAAGCAAAUCCCAUAAAGUUGUUCUCAGUUCGGAUUGUAGUCUGCAACUCGACUACAUGAAGCUGGAAUCGCUAGUAAUCGUAGAUCAGCAUGCUACGGUGAAUACGUUCCCGGGUCU